UUUGAUGAAGGCCAUGCCGUGUGUCCGUA
This 29-nucleotide non-coding RNA is filed under the name Homo sapiens (human). Lineage: Eukaryota; Metazoa; Chordata; Mammalia; Primates; Hominidae. The record is from RNAcentral.